AACGUAGGGGGCGAGCGUUGUCCGGAAUUACUGGGCGUAAAGGGCGCGUAGGCGGUUGUCCAAGUCAGAGGUGAAAACUCUGGGCUCAACUCAGAGCGUGCCUCUGAAACUGGGCGACUUGAGGGCAGGAGAGGGGAGUGGAAUUCCCAGUGUAGCGGUGAAAUGCGUAGAUAUUGGGAGGAACACCAGUGGCGAAGGCGACUCUCUGGCCUGUUUCUGACGCUGAGGCGCGAAAGCGUGGGGAGCGAACGGGAUUAGAUACCCCGGUAGUCCACGCCGUAAACGAUGGGUGCUAGGUGUAGGAGGUAUCGACCCCUUCUGUGCCGUAGCUAACGCAAUAAGCACCCCGCCUGGGGAGUACGGCCGCAAGGUUGAA
Molecule: ribosomal RNA, 376 nt
Filed under: uncultured Bacillota bacterium
Lineage: Bacteria; Bacillati; Bacillota
Description: bacterial SSU rRNA
Rfam family: Bacterial small subunit ribosomal RNA
Source: RNAcentral